This 498-nucleotide ribosomal RNA is filed under the name uncultured bacterium. RNAcentral describes it as "bacterial SSU rRNA". It matches the Rfam family "Bacterial small subunit ribosomal RNA", at positions 31 to 518 of the family's 1533-position model. The record is from RNAcentral.
GAACGCUAGCUACAGGCUUAACACAUGCAAGUCGAGGGGCAGCAGAUCGAAAGCUUGCUUUGAUGCUGGCGACCGGCGCACGGGUGAGUAACGCGUAUCCAACCUUCCCUAUAGUAGAGAAUAGCCCGGCGAAAGUCGGAUUAAUGCUCUAUGUUGUAUUUAGAAGACAUCUGAAGAAUACCAAAGGUUUACCGCUAUAGGAUGGGGAUGCGUCUGAUUAGGUAGUAGGCGGGGUAACGGCCCACCUAGCCGACGAUCAGUAGGGGUUCUGAGAGGAAGGUCCCCCACAUUGGAACUGAGACACGGUCCAAACUCCUACGGGAGGCAGCAGUGAGGAAUAUUGGUCAAUGGACGGAAGUCUGAACCAGCCAAAGUAGCGUGCAGGAUGACGGCCCUAUGGGUUGUAAACUGCUUUUAUAUAGGGAUAAAGUCGGGGACGUGUCCCCGUUUGUAGGUACUAUAUGAAUAAGGACCGGCUAAUUCCGUGCCAGCCGCCGC